GUGUCAGCCGCCGCGGUAAUACGGAGGGUGCAAGCGUUAUCCGGAUUUAUUGGGUUUAAAGGGUGCGUAGGCGGUAUUUUAAGUCAGUGGUGAAAUGUUGCAGCUUAACUGUAGAAUUGCCAUUGAAACUGAAGUACUUGAGUUAUCUUGAGGUAGGCGGAAUGUGUAGUGUAGCGGUGAAAUGCUUAGAUAUUACACAGAACACCGAUUGCGAAGGCAGCUUACUAAGGAUAAACUGACGCUCAGGCACGAAAGCGUGGGGAUCGAACAGGAUUAGAUACCCUCGUAGUCC
Molecule: ribosomal RNA, 292 nt
Filed under: uncultured bacterium
Lineage: Bacteria
Description: partial 16S ribosomal RNA
Rfam family: Bacterial small subunit ribosomal RNA
Source: RNAcentral